CAAGUCGAACGAAUCCCGGUAGCAAUAUCGGGGGAAGUGGCGAAAGGGGCAGUAAGGCGUGGAUAACCUACCCUGGGGACUGGGAUAGCCUCCCUAACGGGAGGGUAAUACCGGGCGAUCUGACGAGAAGACAUCUUUUUGUCAGGAAAUGAAUUUCGCCUCGGGAGGGGUUCACGUGCUAUUAGCUUGUUGGCGGGGUAACGGCCCACCAAGGCAAAGAUGGCUAGCGGGUGUGAGAGCACGACCCGCGCCACUGGCACUGAGACACUGGCCAGACUCCUACGGGAGGCUGCAGUCGAGGAUCUUCGGCAAUGGGCGCAAGCCUGACCGAGCGACGCCGCGUGUGCGAUGAAGGCCUUCGGGUUGUAAAGCACUGUCGAGGGGAAGAAAGCCGCAAGGUUGAUCGACCCCUGGAGGAAGCACGGGCUAAGUUCGUGCCAGCAGCCGCGGUAAGACGAACCGUGCGAACGUUGUUCGGAUUCACUGGGCUUAAAGGGCGCGUAGGCGGGUGGCCAAGUCGGGGGUGAAAUCCUUCAGCUUAACUGAAGAAUCGCCUUCGAUACUGGUUGUCUGGAGGGGGGUAGGGGCAGACGGAACUUCCGGUAGAGCGGUGAAAUGCGUAGAUAUCGGAAGGAACGCCGGCGGCGAAAGCGGUCUGCUGGACCCCCACUGACGCUGAGGCGCGAAAGCCAGGGGAGCAAACGGGAUUAGAUACCCCGGUAGUCCUGGCCCUAAACGAUGAGAACUAGGUUGUGGACUUGACAUGGGUUCACAGCCGAAGCCAAAGUGCUAAGUUCUCCGCCUGGGGAGUAUGGUCGCA
Molecule: ribosomal RNA, 820 nt
Filed under: uncultured Planctomycetota bacterium
Lineage: Bacteria; Pseudomonadati; Planctomycetota
Description: bacterial SSU rRNA
Rfam family: Bacterial small subunit ribosomal RNA
Source: RNAcentral